RNAcentral lists this small nuclear RNA (25 nucleotides) under Arabidopsis thaliana (thale cress). Its description in RNAcentral is "snRNA_02150". The record is from RNAcentral. Lineage: Eukaryota; Viridiplantae; Streptophyta; Magnoliopsida; Brassicales; Brassicaceae.
GUUUCUUCACAAAAAAACAAAAAAA